UACGUAGGGUGCAAGCGUUGUCCGGAAUUAUUGGGCGUAAAGAGCUCGUAGGCGGUCUGUCGCGUCUGCUGUGAAAACUCGGGGCUUAACCCCGGGCCUGCAGUGGGUACGGGCAGACUAGAGUGCGGUAGGGGAGACUGGAAUUCCUGGUGUAGCGGUGAAAUGCGCAGAUAUCAGGAGGAACACCGGUGGCGAAGGCGGGUCUCUGGGCCGAUAUUGACGCUGAGGAGCGAAAGCGUGGGGAGCGAACAGG
RNAcentral lists this ribosomal RNA (253 nucleotides) under uncultured bacterium. Its description in RNAcentral is "partial 16S ribosomal RNA". It matches the Rfam family "Bacterial small subunit ribosomal RNA", at positions 524 to 776 of the family's 1533-position model. The record is from RNAcentral.